Molecule: ribosomal RNA, 1479 nt
Filed under: Parabasalia sp.
Lineage: Eukaryota; Parabasalia
Description: SSU rRNA
Rfam family: Eukaryotic small subunit ribosomal RNA
Source: RNAcentral
UGCAAGUGUUAGUUCAGGGCAACCGAAACUGCGAAUGGCUCAUUAACACGCUUAGAAUCCAUUUGAUGUCUUUUUUCGGAAACGUAUAAGGAUAGCUGGAGUAAUUCUCGAGCUAAUACUUGCCGUUUGCAUCGUCUUAAGUGAAGUAAGAUGACGAAGAAGAGCUUUUGCCGCAUCAUUCGACUAAGCGACCUAUCAGCUUGUACUUAGGGUCUUUACCUAGGUAGGCUAUCACGGGUAACGGGCGGUUACCGUCGGACUGCCGGAGAAGGCGCCUGAGAGAUAGCGACUAUAUCCACGGAUAGCAGCAGGCGCGAAACUUACCCACUCGAAACACUCGGAGGUGGUAAUGACCAGUUCCAUGAUGGGGUUUACCCCAGGUGGAUAGGAUCGCACGUUAAGUGUGCGGUGAAACCUAGCAGAGGGCCAGUCUGGUGCCAGCAGCUGCGGUAAUUCCAGCUCUGCAAGUUUGCUCCCAUAUUGUUGCAGUUAAAACGCCCGUAGUCGAAACUGCCGUAAGGCAUGACUCCAAUUGGAGGUUCACUGCGAACAAAUCAGGACGCUUAGAGUAAGGUUACAAGAAUGACUCAGCGCAGUAUGAAAUUAUCAGCUCGAAAGAGCAAGGUGAAAGAGAGCCAUCGGGGGUAGAUCUAUUUCAUGGCGAGUGGCGGAAUACUUAGACCCAUGAGAGAGAAGCGAAAGCGAAGGCAUCUACCUAGAGGGUUUCUGUCGAUCAAGGGCGAGAGUAGGAGUAUCCAACCGGAUUAGAGACCCGGGUAGUUCCUACUGUAAACUAUGCCGACGAUGGCUUGUUUCUUCUUAGAAGCAGGACAUUACGAGAAAUCUAGUUCAUGGGCUCUGGGGGAACUACGACCGCAAGGCUGAAACUUGAAGGAAUUGACGGAAGGGCACACCAGGGGUGGAGCCUGUGGCUUAAUUUGAAUCAACACGGGAAAACUUACCAGGACCAGAUGUUUUUAAUGACUGACAGGCUCAAGGUCUUUCAGGAUGUUACUUUUGGUGGUGCAUGGCCGUUGGUGGUGCGUGGGUUGACCUGUCUAGAGUUGAUUCAGCUAACGAGCGAGAUAAUUGCCAAUAACCUAGUUCAUCCAUGUUUUCAUGGUUGAUCUUCUUAUUGGGACUCCCUGCGAUUAAGCAGGCGGAAGAGGGUUGCAAUAACAGGUCCGUGAUGUCCUUUAGAUGCUCUGGGCUGCACGCGUGCUACAAUGUUACGUUCAAAGGGUUGUUACUCCGCGAGGAUGGUACUACUCUCAUAAUGCGUGACGUGGUUGGGAUCGAUCUUUGUAAUCAGGAUCGUGAACCAGGAAUCCCUUGUAAAUGUGUGUCAACAGCGCACGUUGAAUACGUCCCUGCCCUUUGUACACACCGCCCGUCGCUCCUACCGAUUGGAUGACUAGGUGAAACUGCCGGAGAUUCGUUGAAGGUAGUUAAAUCAAGUUAUCUAGAGGAAGGAGAAGU